RNAcentral lists this long non-coding RNA (600 nucleotides) under Pan troglodytes (chimpanzee). RNAcentral's name for it is "lincRNA". The record is from RNAcentral. Lineage: Eukaryota; Metazoa; Chordata; Mammalia; Primates; Hominidae.
AUGCGCAGCCCUCGGGCCGGCCCGGGCGCACCUUUUCUGUCUCCUGCCACAUUGUGAGCGCUCCGCCGCCCAGAUAACCGCCGGCUCCCCGCGCCGCCCCCGCCUUCUCCCACUCCGCCCACUGCCGGGAGCCCAGGGGAUGAUGCAGCAAGAAGACCCACACCAGAUGAGGGCACCUUGAUAUUGGAUUUCCCAGCCUCCAGAAUGAAGCCUGGGACUUGCCUCUGUGAUCUGGUGCUUUGGAGGGCCUUGGGCCUCAGGGCUAGCAAGGUCCCUUUCUGGAGAUUCCAGUUCCUCUGCCCGCCCUCCUUUACCUCUUUCUCCUCACACAUCUGUCUCAGGGAUGGGGGUGAGGGCUGCCAACCAGUGUUACCACUUGACAGACCACAAGAGGGCUGGUUCCAGUGCCUCCCUUGUUCAGCUGCUGACACUGCAGCUUGGCAGUCAUUGAAGGCAACAUUUAGCUCCUACAUCUGACCUGAUUGGAAGAUCAGGCUUCUGUCAUCCUGGUUUCCUGGCCUUGGAUAGUUCUUCACUAACUUUUACUCAUUAAGGCAGUGGGCAGAAAGCAGCAGAACCCUGUUUUUUCUUUUUUGGGGU